AGAGUUUGAUCAUGGCUCAGAUUGAACGCUGGCGGCAUGCCUUACACAUGCAAGUCGAACAGCAGCGCGGGCUUCGGCCUGGCGGCGAGUGGCGAACGGGUGAGUAAUAUAUCGGAACGUGCCCAAGAGUGGGGGAUAACUAGUCGAAAGAUUAGCUAAUACCGCAUACGAUCUACGGAUGAAAGUGGGGGAUCGCAAGACCUCAUGCUCCUGGAGCGGCCGAUAUCUGAUUAGCUAGUUGGUGGGGUAAAAGCCUACCAAGGCGACGAUCAGUAGCUGGUCUGAGAGGACGACCAGCCACACUGGGACUGAGACACGGCCCAGACUCCUACGGGAGGCAGCAGUGGGGAAUUUUGGACAAUGGGGGCAACCCUGAUCCAGCAAUGCCGCGUGUGUGAAGAAGGCCUCCGGGUUGUAAAGCACUUUUGUCAGGGAAGAAACGGUGGGGGCUAAUAUCCCUUGCUAAUGACGGUACCUGAAGAAUAAGCACCGGCUAACUACGUGCCAGCAGCCGCGGUAAUACGUAGGGUGCAAGCGUUAAUCGGAAUUACUGGGCGUAAAGCGUGCGCAGGCGGUUGUGUAAGUCAGAUGUGAAAUCCCCGGGCUCAACCUGGGAAUUGCAUUUGAGACUGCACG
RNAcentral lists this ribosomal RNA (636 nucleotides) under uncultured Herbaspirillum sp. RNAcentral's name for it is "bacterial SSU rRNA". It matches the Rfam family "Bacterial small subunit ribosomal RNA", at positions 8 to 639 of the family's 1533-position model. Lineage: Bacteria; Pseudomonadati; Pseudomonadota; Betaproteobacteria; Burkholderiales; Oxalobacteraceae. The record is from RNAcentral.